GGUAAUUUAGUAUUAAAAGUAGUAAAUUUUUGUACAAUAAAAGUGAACGUUGAGGUCCGUGUUGUAAUUUUAGUUUUUUUGUAAAUCUACAUGUAAGUUUAGGCUAGUAAAAAAAGUUGUAAAAUAAAUUAGGAGAUUCUCAGUAGAAAAUUUUGGAAAUAUAUAAAAAUUUUAUCC
RNAcentral lists this ribosomal RNA (177 nucleotides) under Tetraclita rubescens. RNAcentral describes it as "partial small subunit ribosomal RNA". The record is from RNAcentral. Lineage: Eukaryota; Metazoa; Arthropoda; Thecostraca; Balanomorpha; Tetraclitidae.